GCAUAUCAAUAAGCGGAGGAAAAGAAACCAACAGGGAUUGCCCUAGUAACGGCGAGUGAAGCGGCAACAGCUCAAAUUUGAAAUCUGGCGCAAGCCCGAGUUGUAAUUUGUAGAGGAUGUUUCUGGCGACGCGCCUUCCGAGUUCCCUGGAACGGGACGCCAUAGAGGGUGAGAGCCCCGUACGGUUGGAUGCCUAGCCUCUGUGAAACUCCUUCGACGAGUCGAGUAGUUUGGGAAUGCUGCUCUAAAUGGGAGGUAUACGUCUUCUAAAGCUAAAUACCGGCCAGAGACCGAUAGCGCACAAGUAGAGUGAUCGAAAGAUGAAAAGCACUUUGAAAAGAGGGUUAAAAAGUACGUGAAAUUGUUGAAAGGGAAGCGUUCAUGACCAGACUUGGGCAGGUUGAUCAUCCGUGGUUCUCCGCGGUGCACUCUGCCUGCCCAGGCCAGCAUCAGUUCGCCCCGGGGGAUAAAGGCUCUGGGAAUGUGGCUCCUCCGGGAGUGUUAUAGCCCACUGCGUAAUACCCUGGGGUGGACUGAGGUUCGCGCAUCUGCAAGGAUGCUGGCGUAAUGGUCAUCAACGACCCGUCUUGAAACACGGACCAAGGAGUCGUCUUCGUAUGCGAGUGUUCGGGUGUCAAACCCCUACGCGUAAUGAAAGUGAACGUAGGAGAGAGCUUCGGCGCAUCUCCGACCGAUCCUGAUGUUCUCGGAUGGAUUUGAGUAAGAGCAUACGGGGCCGGACCCGAAAGAAGGUGAACUAUGCCUGUAUAGGGUGAAGCCAGAGGAAACUCUGGUGGAGGCUCGCAGCGGUUCUGACGUGCAAAUCGAUCGUCAAAUAUGGGCAUGGGGGGCGAAAGACUAAUCGAACCUUCUAGUAGCUGGUUUCGCG
Molecule: ribosomal RNA, 889 nt
Filed under: Clonostachys capitata
Lineage: Eukaryota; Fungi; Ascomycota; Sordariomycetes; Hypocreales; Bionectriaceae
Description: LSU rRNA
Rfam family: Eukaryotic large subunit ribosomal RNA
Source: RNAcentral